AUGAGCAGUGGCGGAGCUAGCCGAAAAUCACUAGGGGGCGAAACACAAGUCUUCAGUGUUUGGGGGCGGGGGAGCCGGUGCUUAAAUUUUGUCCACAUAUUUAUGGCUGAAGCCCACACAUACAUACUCAUGGAUUUGAUUUUGCGCUAUGCCCUUGUGAACAAUCAAGCUAUCAGGGAGUCGAUUGAGGACCAAAUGGGUAUCUUGUCGCUCAUCUCCGGCAAGUCAGGCGUCAGUCUGUCCAUGGCGGAGAAGAGAAUGCUGCCGGGCUCACCGUCCUCGUCACAGUGCAUGGAGUUUAUCGUGAUGGCCCUUUUGAGUCUCCCCUGUCUGUUCGAACUUCAACAGAAAGCUAACCAAAGAUUAACAGGCAUGAUAUGGUCAGCGUAUUGUGAUGUUAGCAUGCCCCCUGAAGGACUGCGGGAGUUCUUGCCACGCUUAAUACAAACUUUGGUGUCAAACAUGGUCUACACUGACGAUGACGAAUCACUUGUUGAUGCUGAGGUGUGGGCAACCCGUCGCUUUAGGGAGAUGGCGGUCCCUUUGACGGCCUCCGGGCUCGGCUCAAUGAUUGGGAUCGGUCAUCGUUGGUGGCGGCGAAGGUGGUAUGGAGUUUUGACCAUGGAAGAGCCCGUACAACUCAGAAGGCAAAGUUGGGAAGCUCCUACAAAGUGGAUCUACCGCGUGCUGCUCCUGUCCCCUCUCCCUCAAUUCAUCCUCAUGGAUCUGACAAGUGAGCGACGGAGGCUGUAUAUCAUGAGGUCGUUCGGCAUGGAUAGGGCUCGUCAUGCGGCGCCGUCCUCCCGACCUCCUUCCCAUCAUAGCCUUAUGGGAAUUGGCUUACAAAAAGUUUAUCUUCGCUUGGAAUUGGUGGAAGCGAUCUUAUCCCCCAUUUUCUUUCUCUAUGUUCUGUUUCCUAAGCAACAUAAGUGUAACGUGAAAGGGGCCCCUCCUACCUGGCACCGCCCAGCUUCGUCUCAGGUGGUGGCGCCCCAACCACUAGUAAAGCAUCAAUCCGGAACCCAUCGCUGCAGCCAACCAUCACCGUCCGCCUGGCAUAUCGAGAGAGGAGGAGGACGAGGCGCACAAGAUGGAGGCGAUGGCGGCCUCGGCCUGAAGCACAUGGAGAUUACACGAUUGAUCAUGGAGUUUAUAUGUGUUCGAGAUCCUGGCGGCCCUCGCUGCCGUGUACACAUGGGAGGGAAUUCUACCGAUAGUGACAUGAUGAAGACUUGA
RNAcentral lists this ribosomal RNA (1236 nucleotides) under Triticum aestivum (bread wheat). Its description in RNAcentral is "partial small subunit ribosomal RNA". Lineage: Eukaryota; Viridiplantae; Streptophyta; Magnoliopsida; Poales; Poaceae. The record is from RNAcentral.